CCCUGUGGUAAGGAUAUAUAUUUCUUUACUGUUCAUAUCAUGUAUGACCAAUUUGUAAGACUACAAUAAUUUUUUAAAUAUUCCCCAAAUAUACCCACAUUGGGGUGGGGGGGCAUAUGCCUACCAUAGUCCAGUGCCUGGGGGGUUAAACAGAAAUGGAUCAUGUCUUAUGAAAGCUGUAAAAAUGGAAUCAUGUGUGAAUGUGUGUUAACCAAGGUGUAAAUGUAUACAGGUAGUAAGUGAAGAAUUGAUAUAUUGAGCAGAGAAAUAAAGGAAGUGUGAGGUAUUGUGACAUGACUUCCCCGAGUUGUAAACCUAGGUACCCAUUUACAGUUGGGUGAACUGGGAGCACCCGGGAAUCGAACCACUGACCCCGGGAACAGGAGGCGAGCGCUGUAUCUACUCAACCGCUGCACUCCUGUGGCACGUGUUGGUGCCGUUAUAAUUCUGGUUUUUCAAGAACCUAAUCCCAUGAAUAUCAACGGUCUACUGUAGUACUGUACGGCAAUUUGCUAAGACGACCUUUGUUCAUACAAUAAAAAAAUCUGGUGGUAAA
Homarus americanus (American lobster) is the source of this 556-nucleotide long non-coding RNA. RefSeq lists it as uncharacterized. Lineage: Eukaryota; Metazoa; Arthropoda; Malacostraca; Decapoda; Nephropidae. The transcript is spliced from 2 exons. The record is from RefSeq and is a predicted model, not a curated record.